Toxotes jaculatrix (banded archerfish) is the source of this 227-nucleotide long non-coding RNA. RefSeq lists it as uncharacterized. NCBI's taxonomy places the organism in Eukaryota, Metazoa, Chordata, Actinopteri, Toxotidae. The record is from RefSeq and is a predicted model, not a curated record. The transcript is spliced from 3 exons.
AUUGGAGUUUACUUUCACUUUGACCAAACUUUGUGGCGCAGAUGAUUUUCUCCAUCUGAAGGCUUUUUUUGUGUCAGUUAAAGUUCACUCACACAAGAAGCUGAGGAAAAAGAAGCUUGAAGGAGAGAGCUGCAGAGGGAUGAAGUUCAUAGGAAAAAACUGAGUGAAGGUAGAAAGUGUGUGUGAGCUGAUGUGGAUGUGAAUUCAGCAUCAUGAAUCAGUGUGAG